UGGGGAAUAUUGCGCAAUGGGGGAAACCCUGACGCAGCAACGCCGCGUGAAGGAAGAAGGUUUUCGGAUUGUAAACUUCUUUUAUAGGGGACGAUAAUGACGGUACCCUAUGAAUAAGCUCCGGCUAACUACGUGCCAGCAGCCGCGGUAAUACGUAGGGAGCAAGCGUUAUCCGGAUUUACUGGGUGUAAAGGGCGAGUAGGCGGGAUAUUAAGUCAGAUGUGAAAUCUAUGGGCUCAACCCAUAGUCUGCAUUUGAAACUGAUAUUCUUGAGUGAUGGAGAGGCAGGCGGAAUUCCCAGUGUAGCGGUGAAAUGCGUAGAUAUUGGGAGGAACACCAGUGGCGAAGGCGGCCUGCUGGACAUUAACUGACGCUGAGGCGCGAAAGCGUGGGGAGCAAACA
The sequence is a ribosomal RNA, 402 nucleotides long. It matches the Rfam family "Bacterial small subunit ribosomal RNA", at positions 355 to 774 of the family's 1533-position model.